Aquila chrysaetos chrysaetos is the source of this 2218-nucleotide long non-coding RNA. RefSeq lists it as uncharacterized. The record is from RefSeq and is a predicted model, not a curated record. The transcript has 4 exons. Lineage: Eukaryota; Metazoa; Chordata; Aves; Accipitriformes; Accipitridae.
ACUGGAAAAUUAAACAUGAACAACUUUGCUGGGGUAAAUUCAGGCUGCAAAUCCCAACCCAGGAUUCAUACUCAUCUGUGGUAUGUGUGAGACUGAGAGGAAGAAUCACCUGGAGAUUUGAACUUUGGUGGAAAACUAGCUGACUGCCCUGGAGUUGUGGAGCGGGCAUGGGAUGGAGGGAAGGAGACCUGUGAUUCUCGCACAGCUCAGGCGAGGGCUGCUGUCUGUACUGCCUUUGCAACCUCACCGCUGGAAGAGUACUAUGAAUAUGUACGACAUACAGGAGAUCGUAAGGGAAGAAAGCAAAGGCAAGCUGUGGAAUAAAAGUACAAGUCACCGUAUGGUUUGAUACCUACUGCUCUAAAAUGAUAUUGCUGCUUAUUUGCAUUUGAGGAGGAAAAAUCUUCAUCGUUAUGGGGUAAUCCAGGAUGAGAGCCCUAUGACCUGGCCAUCAGAAGUACUGUCAGGCAACCAUUUCCCCUGACUUCUGUUGUGCUGAACUGUACUGAAAAUCCAGUCUAGGUGCACUUUUCAUGUGCACCUAGACAGAAGCAGUGGAUAUCAUGGAUUACCUGGGUCUUGUCUUCUCGAGACUCAGUUUCCCUGCUUGUAAAUGUGGUAUUAAAGUAUUUAUCCUAUUUUUAGGCUUAAUUAAUAUUUUGGGGAUAUUUAGAUUUUCUUAGAUGAAAGAGCCACAAUACAGUUACGUUAUGCCAGGUCAGCAACUCCAGCCAUAAACUGACAUGAUCCCACUAAUUUCAGAUAGAGCUACGCUGACACCCAGCUGAAGUUCCUACCCAAAGUACCUGGAGAUCUGUUCAAACGAAAGAUUGUUUAAUAUCCUCUUAGGAAGAAGGUCAAUCUGCUGAAACAGGAUUUCUGAUUAUUAUCCUCUGACAUUCACUCUUCCUUAAAGCUACAAGGAAGCCAUGGCCCUGGGAUACCAAAAACUCUAUUAAUAUAUGGCAAACUAUGGACCUUUUCCUGAAUAACUCUUCAUUGUCUAGGGUUAAUAAUGUUUUAUACAUGUUUUAAUGUUUCCAUAUCUGCCUCGGGGCAGAAGUUUGGAACAGAAGAACGAAGAGGAACAGUUCUUCUGGGAGAUCCUGAGGGGAAGGAGGAGGGAAACUUUGAGAGGGAAUAUGGCUUUUUGUAGAGGGUGAGUGACUGGCAUCUGCUAGGGAGUCAAGUCUGGGAUGGAGGAAGAAGAAAGGAGAGAAAAAAAGAGGUAGGAAGGCUUCCUGUUAACUCAAUCUGUUGUUUAAGACAGACAUGGAAAGUUUGAAUGACAGGAGAGAAGAGAGGGGGUCCUACUGUUUCCAACCCCUCCAGGGGACAAGGGGAUGCCCUGGAAUAGAAAUUGAGAACCAGGUACAAAGGCAAAACUUGGAUUCAAAUUUAAGUGCUUUCUUCAAUAUUUGGAUUUUGGAAAUGCUUUCAUGAAUGGGCAGAGGGAUAGAUUGGGUGAUAGAGGUUGAAGUGCUGGCAGUGACCUGUCCUUGGACAUCAGCAGCGUUGUCAUGGAAGAAAUUGUGAAGUUUCUUUUGUAGGAAGGCUGGGGGAAUAGAAUGGAGAAGAGCAAAGUAGGGCAGCUGGAAGCAGAUUGUGCUACUAAUUGGUCAUUAUUCUGUGUUAUAUGAAAUGUUGUCAUACAUUUUGAGGUCUAGUAAGGUAAAGGGAAUUUUAGCAGGUCACACUGUGGUACAAAUAUGAGGGGAAAAACAGAUGGGAAGGUUUGAGAACAAGAUGAAGCUUUUUAGGAUUGGGAGGAUCAGAAAAAGAUAAAAACAGCAGUCAACCUUGGGGCAGCUAUACCCAUCAAAUUGCAAGGCAAAGACCACCCAGAAUAUAUUCUUGUGAUGUGGAACUGGAGCAUCAUCUGAGAUGUCAGAGGCUUAGUGGCAAUGAACUGUUAUGAAAAUCAUCCUAUGGAUAGAAAAUAUUAAAAAAAAAAAGACAAAAAAAGAAUCAGCUCUCCUGCAAAGAGAGGGUUUCUCCCAGGCAGAAACCAAAGCCAGUGCUUGCAUAGGGGAAUGCUGUGCAAAAUCAAUGUAAUGUGCAGAAAUAAAAACUGUACACAAGCAUGGCGAGGCAUUACAGCACACUGAUAGCUGCACUGUAGGAAAGUACAAUGCAUUUCAGACUUGAAAAGUUGAAAUAGUAACAGACUUUUCCUAAAGCACGGGGCAUAAGUGGCACCUACUAAAUUUCUUUCGCG